This 64-nucleotide transfer RNA is filed under the name Hemidactylus principensis. Its description in RNAcentral is "partial tRNA-Cys". Lineage: Eukaryota; Metazoa; Chordata; Lepidosauria; Squamata; Gekkonidae. The record is from RNAcentral.
GGGAGAAGCCCCGGGACCCAUUACGGGNCCUGUUCCAAAUUUGCACUUUGGCUGCCUUGACCGG